GGGGCAGUAGUAUAGCCAGGUAUUACGAUGGGCUCCAGACCCAUUGGUCGUCGGUUCAAAUCCGAUCUGUCCCACCA
This 77-nucleotide transfer RNA is filed under the name Candidatus Bathycorpusculum sp. RNAcentral describes it as "tRNA-Trp". It matches the Rfam family "tRNA". From Rfam's summary of the family: Transfer RNA (tRNA) molecules are approximately 80 nucleotides in length. The record is from RNAcentral. Lineage: Archaea; Thermoproteati; Candidatus Bathyarchaeota; Bathyarchaeia (SeqCode); Bathyarchaeales (SeqCode); Candidatus Bathycorpusculaceae.